AUUGAACGCUGGCGGCAGGCCUAACACAUGCAAGUCGAGCGGAGCGGCGGACGGGUGAGUGAUACCUAGGAAUCUGCCUGGUAGGGGGGGAUAACGUCCGGUAACGGGCGCUAAUACCGCAUACUCUCAGAUGAGCCUAGGGCGGAUUCGCUAGUUGGUGGGGGAAAGGCCUAGAAAGGCGACGGUCCGUAACUGGUCUGAGAGGAUGAUCAGUCACACUGGAACUGAGACACGGUCCAGACUCCUACGGGAGGCAGCAGUGGGGAAUAUUGGACAAUGGGCGAAAGCCUGAUCCAGCCAUGCCGCGUGUGUGAAGAAGGUCUUCGGAUUGUAAAGCACUUUAAGUUGGGAGGCGUUACCAACAGAAUAAGCACCGGCUAACUUCGUGCCAGCAGCCGCGGUAAUAC
RNAcentral lists this ribosomal RNA (407 nucleotides) under uncultured bacterium. RNAcentral describes it as "partial 16S ribosomal RNA". It matches the Rfam family "Bacterial small subunit ribosomal RNA", at positions 30 to 526 of the family's 1533-position model. The record is from RNAcentral.